GAGACUUGGCGGUGCUCUUCAUCCACCUAGGGGAGCCUGUUCUAUAAUCGAUGAUCCACGAUCUACCUCACCACUUAUCGCCAAAUCCGCCUAUAUACCGCCGUCGCCAACCCACCCCUUGAAGGUAAAAUAGUAAGUCUAAGGGUUUAUAACCAACACGUCAGGUCAAGGUGUAGCUAAUGAAGUGGGAAGAAAUGGGCUACAUUUUCUAAUCUAGAAUACACGAAAGAUCACUUAUGAAAUCUGAUCGGAAGGAGGAUUUAGCAGUAAAAAGAAAUUAGCAAGUUCUUUUAAAGUUGUCCUAGAGCGCGUACAUACCGCCCGUCACCCUCUUCGACCCAACACACUGAACUAAAUAAAAAGUAUACGGAACCAAGAAGAGGUAAGUCGUAACAUGGUAAGCGUACCGGAAGGUGCGCUUGG
Molecule: ribosomal RNA, 423 nt
Filed under: Leptobrachella khasiorum
Lineage: Eukaryota; Metazoa; Chordata; Amphibia; Anura; Megophryidae
Description: partial 12S ribosomal RNA
Rfam family: Bacterial small subunit ribosomal RNA
Source: RNAcentral